ACCAAAACUAUAUAGAGGAGAAAGUAGGACAACUUUAGAAGUUUAUGAGAUGACAUGAAAAUGAGACAUGAAAACAAUCCAGGGGCAACGUGAGAAUAUAUAUUUCAGUGGAACCAUGUCCUCUGCCAUCCAUAGCUGUCAUCCAGAAAAUAUUUAUUGAAUACCCACUACUCUAUUAGAAAAUGAUCAUAACUCUCCUCCCUCUUACAUUAUCCAUUAUUUGGACCUGAGGUAAAAUGUUGAAUCGAUCAAAAGUAUUUCUCACAUUUUUGGUCUUUAUUUGAUGGAAAAUGCUCAAUAAAUUGGACAAUUCACUGGACUUGAGCUUAAGAUCUACUAUUGAUUGAUAUUAUUAUUUCAUGUAUUCAAAAAAUACUUACUGAGCACUUAGUAUAUGCCAGAUACUGUUCUAGACACCUGGGAUACAAAAGAGAUAAAAUUUCCUGUUGUCAUGAGCUUUCCUUCUAGAAGGGAAAGACAGGCAAUGAACAAAUAAGUAAAAUACAGCAUUUUAAAUGACAAUAAGUGCUACAGAAAAUGAAAAGCAGGACUGGGGACAAGGACUGCUUGGAGAAGGUUGUAAUUUUAAAUAAAGUGGUCAGGAAAGGCCACACGGACAAGGUGAUGUUGGAGAAAAGAUCUGAAAGAAAUCAAAGUUUGCACCAUGUGGUUAUCUGUGAGAGGCGUCUUCCAGGGAGAGAGGACCCUGAGGCGGGAGGGUGUUUGAUGUGUUCUAGUAACAGCCAGGAGGCUAGUGCCCAUAGAACCACAUGAAUAACAGUAUGUG
Molecule: long non-coding RNA, 787 nt
Organism: Homo sapiens (human)
Lineage: Eukaryota; Metazoa; Chordata; Mammalia; Primates; Hominidae
Source: Ensembl